Saccostrea cuccullata (small rock oyster) is the source of this 701-nucleotide long non-coding RNA. RefSeq lists it as uncharacterized. NCBI's taxonomy places the organism in Eukaryota, Metazoa, Mollusca, Bivalvia, Ostreida, Ostreidae. The record is from RefSeq and is a predicted model, not a curated record. The transcript has 4 exons.
GUACAUCCCACUAAUUAUUUUUAGAAUUGGUAGGAGAAGAAAGUAGUGCAGAAAAAAUUACAAGUUCCUUAAUUUGCAGACUUGCAUAAAAAAAAUUGGGCAGAUGUACUGAAUUGAGCCUCACACUUGUUGAUAAGGAGUAUCUUUCCUACCAAAAAAGCUUGGAAAAUAGGUCCCCGCAGACAGACGCAUUUUGCCGGAAAACGAAUCUGACAUGCCACCUCGAGAUUUUAACCAAGGAAAGACAAGUUGAUGUGCUUUGAUUUGAGGGGUCACUCACUUCUGAACGAAAAUUAGGGACAUAGCUAUGAGAAGAAACGUUAACAUUGUCGCCUAUGGGAAAACAAUUAGUGGACUGUACCCAUAUUAGGAAGCCCAUAAGUUAAUGGUGAUUGGUGCAGGAAAAACAUGAGGUCCAUGCAGAUGGUGUUUAAAACUAUUGGCCAGCAAAUGCACACCCAUUUGAAUACAUCUUGAAACAGCACCAGCAAAAUGUGACAGUCAGCAAAAUGUAGGUCCCCGCAGACAGACGCAUUUUGCCGGAAAACGAAUCUGACAUGCCACCUCGAGAUUUUAACCAAGGAAAGACAAGUUGAUGUGCUUUAAUUUGAGGGGUCACUCACUUCUGAACGAAAAUUAGAGACAUACGCUAUGAGAAGAAACGUUAACAUUGUCGCCUAUGGGAAAACAAUUAGUGGACU